AUCCGGGUGACAAGUCCCAAAUAGGACGAAACGCGCGUCCUGGAU
Molecule: non-coding RNA, 45 nt
Filed under: Schistosoma haematobium
Lineage: Eukaryota; Metazoa; Platyhelminthes; Trematoda; Strigeidida; Schistosomatidae
Source: RNAcentral